AUGCCCACAAGGUAUGAUUUUGCCCCCUUUUUUUGUUGGUGUUUUUUACAUAAGUAUAUACAUAUAGAUAGCUUAGUUUUCUUCUACAUACUUUAUAGUUUCAAUGAUGACACAUAUAUGACAACUAUGGGUGUUGGCUCCAACAAUUCUCAUUGGUCACAAACCAAUGAACUGCAUGAAGACGAUCAUGAGUUUGAGGUGGACGAGGAUGGGGAGGGUAUAGUCGAUGCACCAAAAGGAUGA
This 243-nucleotide ribosomal RNA is filed under the name Triticum aestivum (bread wheat). Its description in RNAcentral is "partial small subunit ribosomal RNA". The record is from RNAcentral. Lineage: Eukaryota; Viridiplantae; Streptophyta; Magnoliopsida; Poales; Poaceae.